GUAAAGGAUGAAGGAGAAAUGGGGCACCAGAGACCCCCCUCUAGGAUACUGAGCACCCCAAAGACCCAGAGGCCCAGCUGCAGGACGAGAGUGGCAAAAGGGGAUCCCAGACAGCUGUAGCAAGGGUUUCUCUGGGUACACUGUCCUGCUCCUCACUUCCCUUGUGCAUUUGUAUUCCUGCUACUCCUUGGGAAAUACCUCCCCCUGACUUUUAGAGGAAGGUAGCAGAGGCUUCGAAACUCCCCCUGAUGGCUGCAAAGUCAAGGUGAGGAGGCACCAGUACUUUGCAGGCAUGAGUAGGUAUUUUCAGAGCUACCAUGUCCAGCCUACGAGUGAGCAACAUCCCAUCCACAGAGGAAGGAGCCGAAUGACUGCUAUGCCUGUGCAUUUAGUGAAUUGAUGCCAAUUCCAGGCCUCGGAGGAUCGUAUUCUUAGCUGCUUCAUUCGGGUUGCUCUAAUAUUGACACGGCCUUGGAAAUGUGGAAAGUGAGCCUCUUCAAAGACUGCAAAGAAAAAGGGGGUUUAGAAGAACAUUUACAUGAUGCUAUCCCUUGGGUUCCAGCUGCCGGACUGAAUUAGCAUCAAACCCUUGCCCUGGCAUAGGGCUGUGAGAGUUGAUUUUCCUGGCCCCACACAAUGACCACAGUCAAUAUGGAUGCGGCCUGGUUUUCAUCUGGAAGAAAUUUACAUUUGAUCCCACUCCUCUGCUUGACUGCAUCAGCGAGGCCCACAUAUUUGUACAAAUGCCUCCACUGUUCUUCUCCCUGAUGACUUGACCGUAAAAAUUCCCUCCCUCAACAUUUCUUCCUACCCAUACAAACCUCAAUUUUUGAACUCAAACUUGUAUCCAUAAGGAGUUCGGAGGAAAAGGCUGAGUGAUGAAACUUUGUAUCAAAAGUAAACAACUGAAGAGCAGGUGAACACCAGGGGACCAGUUAAACGGCCAUUGCAGUACGACAGGCACGAAGAGCUGGUGGUGACUCUUGCCUUUAAUCACAUCAGAGCCGAGAAGAGGUGAUCAGUAUCCAGUUACACUCGGCAGAUCCAAAUUGUUGAUGGAAGUCAAGAUGGCCUCAAGGAUAUUGCCUGAACAGCUAGAAGAACAGAGUUGACACUGACUGAGAUGAGAAAAUGGCCUGAGGAGCCAUUCAGGGAAAGAGGUGAAAUGAGAGUUCAUUCCAGCACAUUCUGACACGUCUGCAUAAAGAACCUGAGGUACACAUAGGUCGGUGUGUAGUUCAUACGUGAGUCCAGGCUAUACCGAGGUGGGUAUGACGUUUAAUGUCUCGGGACCGACAAAGGAACCAAGUUUAGAGUGUGGUGGAAGACAGGCCAGGGCUGAACUCUGAGCUGUGUUAUUGUUUAGAGAAUGAAGAGACAUCAUGAGCAGAGCUGAAGAUGGAAGGAAACCACUAUAAACUUGUUCUGGAAGCCAAGUACUGUGGUCUCACUGUGUCCCCCCAGAUGUUCCUGUGUUAAAAACUUAACCCCUAACCAAUGUAUUUGAAGGUGGGACUCUUGGGAGUAAUCAGUAUUCGUUGAACUCAUGAGAGGGAUGUCCCACGGUGGCAUUGCUGGGUCUAUUAAUAGAUGUGGGACCCUAAAAAGUGGCUGACUGUAUCAACAUGGCGUGUCCUCCUCCAUGUUAUAAUACAAGUUUCUCCCCAUGUGUUAGGCAGGCUUUGCUGCCGUGCUCCCAGGCUUCUCGGUAGCCAGAACUACAGCCUAAAUAAAUCUGUUCUUUAGAAAUGUGCAGGCUGCUGAACUGUGCUAUUCAUAACUGCAGCAGAGAUUGAGGAGGCCAUCAAGAAAAGAAGUGCUCAAGGAAGGGGGAAAAUCAACCAUGCCAAAUGUCACAGAUAGGCCAUUUCCAAGCUGUCAGGAGCCUUAGCAACAUUCAAACAAGUGCUGAGAGGAAAUAUGGGUUAUGUCAUGUUGGGAAAGACACAAUUUCUGUUCUUAAUUCUGAGGGCUUUCUGACAGGUGGAAGGACAGGCGUGGGAAGGGCUGAAUGCCGCCGGAUCUAGAUAAUCUUGACUUUCCUCUUCCAUUUUUUCCCUGGUAGGUUUAUCUUUCCCAAACAAAGGUGCAAGAGCUGGACUUCCGGCUGACACCUAAACUGACCUUAGCGUCCCCAAGCAGAGCAGGCAGGCAGGCUGCCAGAAUCAAAACUGCCUUUAUUCUGGACUUCCCGGGACUCAGGACAAGAUGGGACCACCCAGCACACUGGUGGUCACUUACCAUCCAGUCUCGAAAGACAGACACUAGCUGGACAGAAUCCUUGGCCUGGGGCCCUCAAUCUAGAGCUAUUGUCCUAGGGUCAGCAAGUUCUCCCUGUGGUAGACCACUCUGGGCAUCUGAGCAGUUCUUUUUUAAAGA
Molecule: long non-coding RNA, 2379 nt
Organism: Alexandromys fortis (reed vole)
Lineage: Eukaryota; Metazoa; Chordata; Mammalia; Rodentia; Cricetidae
Exons: 3
Source: RefSeq, a predicted model, not a curated record